GCUAAACGCGAAGAACCUUACCUGGCCUUGACAUGUCCGGAAUUCUGCAGAGAUGCGGAAGUGCCUUCGGGAAUCGGAACACAGGUGCUGCAUGGCUGUCGUCAGCUCGUGUCGUGAGAUGUUGGGUUAAGUCCCGCAACGAGCGCAACCCUUGUCCUUAGUUGCCAGCGAGUAAUGUCGGGAACUCUAAGGAGACUGCCGGUGACAAACCGGAGGAAGGUGGGGAUGACGUCAAGUCCUCAUGGCCCUUACGGCCAGGGCUACACACGUACUACAAUGGUCGGUACAGAGGGUUGCCAGACCGCAAGGUGGAGCCAAUCCCAGAAAGCCGAUCCCAGUCCGGAUCGGAGUCUGCAACUCGACUCCGUGAAGCCGGAAUCGCUAGUAAUCGCGGAUCAGCUAUGCCGCGGUGAAUACGUUCCCGGGUC
Molecule: ribosomal RNA, 428 nt
Filed under: uncultured bacterium
Lineage: Bacteria
Description: bacterial SSU rRNA
Rfam family: Bacterial small subunit ribosomal RNA
Source: RNAcentral